RNAcentral lists this ribosomal RNA (489 nucleotides) under uncultured Chloroflexota bacterium. RNAcentral's name for it is "bacterial SSU rRNA". It matches the Rfam family "Bacterial small subunit ribosomal RNA", at positions 8 to 513 of the family's 1533-position model. The record is from RNAcentral. Lineage: Bacteria; Bacillati; Chloroflexota.
AGAGUUUGAUCAUGGCUCAGGAUGAACGUUGGCGGCGUGCCUAAUACAUGCAAGUCGAACGGUAGUUGAGCAUUCGUGCUUGAUGAGAGUGGCGAACGGGUGAGUAACACGUAACUGAUCUGCCCUUUAGACUGGGAUAACCUUUGGAAACAGAGGCUAAUACCGGAUGAGUUCGCGGUAGUUAGAGAGCCGUGAGGAAAGGCUAAUGCGCUAAGGGAUGAGGUUGCGGGCCAUCAGCUAGUUGGUGAGGUAAAGGCUCACCAAGGCGAUGACGGUUAGGGGAUCUGACAGGGUGGCCCCCCACACUGGGACUGAGACACGGCCCAGACUCCUACGGGAGGCAGCAGUAAGGGAUAUUGCACAAUGGACGGUAUCUGAAGCAGCGACGCCGCGUGGGUGAAGAAGGUUUUCGGAUCGUAAAGCCCUUUUCUAUGUGACGAGAGAGGACGGCAGCAUAGGAAUAAGUGUCGGCUAACUACGUGGCCAGCA